Molecule: ribosomal RNA, 492 nt
Filed under: uncultured bacterium
Lineage: Bacteria
Description: partial 16S ribosomal RNA
Rfam family: Bacterial small subunit ribosomal RNA
Source: RNAcentral
AGUGAACGCUGGCGGUAGGCCUAACACAUGCAAGUCGAACGGCAGCACAGUAAGAGCUUGCUCUUACGGGUGGCGAGUGGCGGACGGGUGAGGAAUACAUCGGAAUCUACUUUUUCGUGGGGGAUAACGUAGGGAAACUUACGCUAAUACCGCAUCCGACCUACGGGUGAAAGCAGGGGAUCUUCGGACCUUGCGCGAUUGAAUGAGCCGACGUCGGAUUAGCUAGUUGGCGGGGUAAAGGCCCACCAAGGCGACGAUCCGUAGCUGGUCUGAGAGGAUGAUCAGCCACACUGGAACUGAGACACGGUCCAGACUCCUACGGGAGGCAGCAGUGGGGAAUAUUGGACAAUGGGCGCAAGCCUGAUCCAGCCAUACCGCGUGGGUGAAGAAGGCCUUCGGGUUGUAAAGCCCUUUUGUUGGGAAAGAAAAGCAGCAGGUUAAUACCCCGCUGUUCUGACGGUACCCAAAGAAUAAGCACCGGCUAACUUCGUG